This 500-nucleotide long non-coding RNA is filed under the name Anas platyrhynchos platyrhynchos (common mallard). RNAcentral describes it as "lncRNA (ENSAPLG00000029820.1)". Lineage: Eukaryota; Metazoa; Chordata; Aves; Anseriformes; Anatidae. The record is from RNAcentral.
UUAUAAAUUCUUUGCACAUAAGCGUUGCAGGAUGUUUUUUGAAUGAUGCCCUGAAAUAUAGUUACUUACUGAUAUAAAGAAAGCUCAUCUUUCCCACCAGCUGAGCUAAAGCAAAGGCUAUUUCUUGCCACUCCCCUCGCUAAAACUGGGGCAAACCUUCUGACAGUUCCUACUGCUGCAGGCAGUCCCCUCUCUCGUAGUUAACUGCUUCACUGCUGGCCCAGCAGCUGCAGCUGCCCCGCAUUGUCACAUCACACUGAUGCAUCCUGGAAGCCGAGGAAAUGUCAGCAAUACAUACCUGUUUGCAGAGUUUCUGAGCUCACUGAGACCCUGUUGUGAGAGGCGCUAGACAGCAACGCAACACUGGCCAUACUUAUUCAAAAGGUCUCUUGUACAGAAGAAACAUCAACAAAUCACAACACCUAAAAGGAAUUAGAACAAAACAAAACACAAAACAAAUCUUACCAAAAUGUUUUAAUUAAGCCAAGCUUUUGUUUGGA